CUUGCACGGGAUGUUAUACAACCAAAGGAUCGAAACUUUCAAUUCAUACCACCUCAAAUCGCCAAUGAUACAAGAUACAUGCCUUAUUUUAAGGAUUGUAUUGGAUGCAUUGAUGGUACUCAUGUGGCAGCAUGUAUUCCCGAGGCUGAUCAAUUGCGUUAUAGAGGGAGAAAAGACAUCCCCACUUUCAAUGUCAUGGCUGUGUGUGACUUUGAUAUGUGUUUUACAUUUUUGUC
This is a long non-coding RNA of Asparagus officinalis (garden asparagus), 236 nucleotides long. RefSeq lists it as uncharacterized. The transcript has 2 exons. The record is from RefSeq and is a predicted model, not a curated record. NCBI's taxonomy places the organism in Eukaryota, Viridiplantae, Streptophyta, Magnoliopsida, Asparagales, Asparagaceae.